This is a long non-coding RNA of Onychostoma macrolepis, 1836 nucleotides long. RefSeq lists it as uncharacterized. The record is from RefSeq and is a predicted model, not a curated record. The transcript has 4 exons. Lineage: Eukaryota; Metazoa; Chordata; Actinopteri; Cypriniformes; Cyprinidae.
UGUAACUGCAUUGAAAAGAGUGACCAGCAGAUUCUUUAGAAUUUCUCUCCUCUUUCCACAGAAGAAAGAAAGUCAUGCAGGUUUGGAACGAGGUUUGGAACAACAUGAGAAGCAAGGACGUGCUGAAGGAAAUUGCUUUGGAGAGUGCCGAUAUUUUCAUAUUUCAGAGCCGGUGUGUUUGCCUAGCACCUUGCAGAGAGAGCGAGAGCGCACUGUUUUCUAAAUGACGGGUAAUAGGAAGCAGCAGUUCAAGGCCGAGUUCAGAUGAAGCCGAUAAAAACACACUUAACAAGAUCCCUCACUCAACUCAUUCAUCAGAGAGCGGCGGAGCGACUCUACGAGUGCCACCUGUUUCUGAUACAGCCUAAAGGAAAGCCAGAGAAUGCAGAAAUAUCCAGAGACUUCAAGAACGGGAAGCUCUGACACUGAACACGCUCGGCUCGUGAAGUAAAGGGUAUUAAGAUGACAGCACGCUGAUGUGUACGCCGGUCCCGAGCUUGUGCGUCACCGUUUAUAAACUCGAGCGUGUGUGCGCACACAGUGCUCGUAUACCUGUGUGUGACUGGUAGGAAUAUGACGGCCAAUCAUAACAAGAGGACUUAAGGACGUGUUUGUGUAAGCACUGGAAAUUUCUCAGUGGGAAUAGCCUGUGCUUACUGAAAGCUCUGAUUACAGCUGUUUGAACAGAUGCUGGGCAGGAGGCAGGAGAAGGAUGUGCAGGUAUAAAGACACGUUCUGUGGAGGCCGAGACCCUGAACCGUCCUGCAAAUAUUAUUUUUCAACACCUGAGCAUUUUCUGAAGACCUGAAUAAUGACCUCUGGCUGAUGCCAAAUCAAAAUUGUGCGUAGGCGUCAUUAUGAUCCAUCAGUCUGGCGAACAGAAGCGCCUCUAUAUUUUGGCCGGACAUUUGUCCGAACUCCCUCUCUAUUCUGUAGCCGCCCUUUAGUUUAUCCAUGAGUUUAAGACUGGAAAGCUUCCAAAAGACAUACGAGAUCCUGACAUUACAGCUCAGAAAAAUGAAUCCAUUCUUUUUCGCUCCAAUCUAAUAUUCUUAAAUUACCUUCAAUCAAAAAAACACAUACAAAUUCUGUCAUCAUUUAUCUUUUCUAUACAAUGAAAGUGAAUCUGAAUGGCUUUUAGAAAAAGCACCAUAACAGAGUUGUGCACUGUUUAGAAUUUAAAUCAGAAUUACUUUUAAAUUCCAGUUCUAUUUGAUUUUGAGGUAGCUAACAGGAUGCAGAAAUUGAAUAUCAACAUAAGGAAGUAGAAUUAAAAUGAAUUUAAAGAAAUUCAUAAAACUGUACAUUUUAGAUAUGGAUGGAUGGAUGGACAAAUAGCAGUCUGUACAAUACAAGCAUAUCUUCAAAAGGCUAUAGAAUUUAGUGCACAAGUCACAUGAACUACUUUUACGAUAUUUUUAUGGUGCUAAUUUUCAGUUUUGCAGCCCUUAUCCCUCAUACUUUCAUUAUAUGGACUAAACUGCGCUGCACAUUAUGCAAAAUUACUUUUUUUCCACAAAAGAAAGUCAGUCGUAUAGGUUUGGAACAGCAUGAGGGUGAAAAGUUUCAUUUUUGAGGUAAAUAAACCCUUCACUGGCAGCAUUUUAAAGCAGGAUUUUAUAAUGUUAAACUCAUCCGUAUUUUAACUUCAUAUGCUACAGGGGGUGCACACAUUUUACAUGGGAAAUGACAUCACUGUGUACAUGAGCGUCAGGUGGUUUGAUGCCUAACGCUGCUGCAUUGUUUUACAUGGCAUAACUGUGUGUUUACCCACCAGGCUUAGGUUUCAUACUUUAGCCAAAUGCAAUAAAAGUUAUAACAAAACAUACCUGUAUU